This 557-nucleotide ribosomal RNA is filed under the name Rana dybowskii. RNAcentral describes it as "partial 16S ribosomal RNA". It matches the Rfam family "Bacterial large subunit ribosomal RNA", at positions 1820 to 2602 of the family's 2925-position model. Lineage: Eukaryota; Metazoa; Chordata; Amphibia; Anura; Ranidae. The record is from RNAcentral.
GCCUCUUGACAAAACAUAAGAGGUCCAGCCUGCCCAGUGACAAAGUUUAACGGCCGCGGUACCCUAACCGUGCGAAGGUAGCAUAAUCACUUGUUCUUUAAAUGGGGACUCGUAUCAACGGCACUACGAGGGCUAUACUGUCUCCUUUUUCUAAUCAGUGAAACUGAUCUCCCCGUGAAGAAGCGGGGAUUAAAAUAUAAGACGAGAAGACCCCAUGGAGCUUUAAACUCACCAUGCACCUCUGUGCCCCCCAUAUCCUUAAACACAACGGACCUGCAUGCUAGUUUUAGGUUGGGGUGACCACGGAGUACAACUUAACCUCCACAGCAAAUGGGCUAAUACCCUUAUCCACGAGACACAACUCUAAGAAUUAUUAUACUAAUGCUUAUUGACCCGAUAUUCGAUCAAUGAACCAAGUUACCCUGGGGAUAACAGCGCAAUCUACUUCAAGAGCCCAUAUCGACAAGUAGGUUUACGACCUCGAUGUUGGAUCAGGGUAUCCCGGUGGUGCAGCCGCUACCAAUGGUUUGUUUGUUCAACGAUUAAAACCCUACGUG